GCGGCUGCAGCUCGGUGGAGGGGAAGGGCAGAGCGGCCCCCAUGGCGACACCCCUCUCCCACCCCCAGCGGCGCCCUCCCCUCCUCCGCCAGGCCAUCAAGAUAAGGCGCCGCAGGGUCAGAGAUCUGCAGGAUCCCCUGGCCCAAACCGCUCAGGAGCUCGAGCCUCCAUCCCACCACCUCUCCCCUGAGGAGCGGGCCCUGCUCUACGAGGAAGCUCUCUACACUGUCCUGCACCGCCUGGGUCAGCCUGAGCCCAGCCAUGUGCGGGAGGCCUCUGAGCUGCUGCAGUACCUGCAGGAGGCCUUCCACAUGGAGCCCGAGGAGCACCAGCAGAUGCUGCAGCAGGUCCAGAAGCUUGAGAAGCCAGUAUUUUGUCUGAAGGCAACUGUGAAACAAGCUAAGGGCAUUCUGGGCAAAGAUGUCAGCGGAUUCAGUGACCCCUACUGCUUGCUGGGCAUCGAGCAGGGGGUGGGCGUGCAGGGGGGCAGCCCUGGGUCCCGCCAUCGGCAGAAGGCCGUGGUGAAGCACACCAUCCCGGAGGAGCACACCCACCGCACCCAGGUCAUCGCCCAGACACUCAAUCCAGUCUGGGAGGAGACCUUCAUCCUGGAGUUUGAGGACAUAAGCAACUCGAGCUUCCAUCUGGACAUGUGGGAUAUGGAUACCGUGGAGUCUGUCAGGCAGAAGCUCGGGGAGCUCACAGAUCUGCACGGGCUGCGAAGGAUCUUUAAGGAGGCACGGAAGGACAAAGGCCAGGACGAUUUUCUGGGGAACGUGGUUGUGAGGCUACAGGACCUGCGCUGCCGGGAGGAUCAGUGGUACCCUCUGGAGCCCUGCACCGAGACCUACCCAGACCGCGGUCAGUGCCACCUCCAGUUCCAGCUCAUUCACAAGCGGAGAGCCCCGGCAGCCAGCCGCUCCCAGCCCAGCUAUACGGUGCACCUCCACCUGCUCCAGCAGCUGGUGUCCCAUGAGGUCACCCGGCACCAGGCAGGCAGUACCUCCUGGGACGGGUCGCUGAGUCCCCAGGCUGCCACCAUCCUCUUUCUCCAUGCCACGCAGAAGGACCUAUCUGACUUCCACCAGUCCUUGGCGCAGUGGCUGGCUUAUAGCCGCCUCUACCAGAGCCUGGAGUUCCCGAGCAGCUGCCUCCUGCACCCCAUCACCAGCAUCGAGUACCAGUGGAUCCAGGGCCGGCUCAAGGGGGAACAGCUGGAGGAGCUGACCGCCUCGUUCAGCAAGCUGCUGGCCUACGGCCUCUCACUCCUCCGCAAGUUCCGGUCGGUUUUCCCCCUCUCUGUGCCCGACUCCCCGGCCCGGCUGCAGUCUCUGCUCAGGGUCCUGGUACAGAUGUGCAAGAUGAAGGCCUUCAGAGAGCUGUGCCCUGACAGCGCCCCACUGCCCCGCCUGGUGACCGAGACGCUGAGGACUGGCACGGUCGAGUGGUUCCACCUGAAGCAACAGCACCAUCAGCCCAUGGUGCAGGGCAUGCUGGAGGCGGGCAAAGCCCUGCUGAGCCUGGUACAGGACAUCAUAGGUGACCUACACCAGUGCCAGCACACGUGGAACAAGAUCUUCCAGAACACCCUCAAGGUCGACCUCUUCUCCAUGGCUUUCCUGGAGCUGCAAUGGCUGGUGGCCAAGCGGGUGCAGGACCACACGGCGGUGGUGGCAGGCAGCCCCGUGUCCCCAGAGAUGGGCGAGAGUCUAUUCCAGCUCUAUGUCAGCCUCAAGGAGCUCUGCCAGCUGGGCCCGGGCCCUGCAGAGAGAGAUGGAGUCCUGGCCCUGGAUGGCUUUCACCGCUGGUUCCGGCCCGCCAUCCCCUCCUGGCUGCAGAAGACUUACAGUGUGGCCCUGGCGCGGGUGCAGCGCGCUGUGCAGAUGGACGAGCUGGUGCCCCUGAGUGAACUGACCAAGCAUAGCACAUCAGCUGUGGAUCUGUCCACCUGCUUCGCCCAGAUCAGCCAUACUGCCCGGCAGCUGGACUGGCCGGACCCAGAGGAGGCCUUCAUGAUCACCGUCAAGUUUGUGGAGGACACCUGUCGGCUGGCUCUGGUAUACUGCAGCCUUAUAAAGGCCCGGGCCCGUGAGCUCUCUGCAGGCCAGAAGGACCAGGGCCAGGCAGCCAACAUGCUGUGCGUGGUGGUGAAUGACAUGGAGCAGCUGCGGCUGGUGAUCGGCAAGCUGCCCACUCAGCUGGCCUGGGAGGCUCUGGAACAGCGAGUAGGGGCCGUGCUGGAGCAGGGCCAGCUGCAGAACACGCUGCACGCCCAACUGCAGGGUGCGCUGGCUGGGCUGGGCCAUGAGAUCCGCACAGGCGUCCGCACCCUGGCCGAGCAGCUGGAGGUGGGCAUUGCCAAGCACAUCCAGAAACUCGUGGGCGUCAAGGAGUCUGUCCUGCCUGAGGAUGCCAUUCUGCCCCUGAUGAAGUUUCUGGAGGUGAAGCUCUGCUACCUGAAUACCAACUUGGUGCAGGAGAACUUCAGCAGAAUCUGGAGAUCUGCUUCUACGCAGAGGGCUGUGGCCUACCACCCGCAGCGCUGCACACAGACACCUUCCAGGCUCUGCAGAGGGACCUGGAGCUGCAGGCCGCUUCCAGCCGGGAGCUCAUCCAGAAGUACUUCUGCAGCCGCAUCCAGCAGCAGGCGGAAACUGCCUCUGAGGAGCUGGGGGCUGUCACAGUCAAGGCUUCCUACCGCACCUCUGAGCAGAAGCUGCGUGUGGAACUGCUCAGCGCCUCCAGCCUGCUGCCCCUGGACUCCAACGGUGACCUCCCCACUUGCCAGGCUCCAGCGAUCCCUUUGUCCAGCUGACCUUGGAGCCCAGGCACGAGUUCCCUGAGCUGGCCCCCCGGGAGACCCAAAAGCACAAGAAGGACCUUCACCCCCUGUUUGAUGAAACCUUUGAAUUCCUGGUGCCUGCUGAGCCAUGCCAGAGGGACGGAGCGUGCCUCCUGCUCACAGUGCUGGACCACGACACGCUGGGGGCUGACGACUUGGAAGGGGAGGCCUUUCUGCCCCUGCGCUCCGUGCCGGGCCUGACCGGGACCGAGGAGCCUGGCGAGGUGCCUCAGACGCGCCUGCCCCUCACCUACCCUGCACUCAACGGGGAUCCCAUCCUGCAGCUGUUGGAGAGCCGGAAGGGUGACCGGGAGGCCCAGGUGUUUGUGAGGCUGCGGCGGCAGCGAGCCAAGCAGGCCUCCCAGCAUGCCCCAAGGCCAGGGCAGUAGAGUUUUAAGUGCCAGCAGCAGUGGAGGUUAGGGAUGGGGUUGGGUGCCCGGUAGGGACGGGCUUUCCUGAAAGGUCUGGGUUCUCCCCACCAUAGUGCAAGCCCUCCAGCCUGGCCUAAUGCUCCAGAAGGGCCCUGCAAACCUGGGGAACCCCAGCGUGCGGAAGGCCCAGCAUGAAGAUCCCGUCUGGUCCUCCUGCCAGAGCAGGGACCCAUGGUGCUGGUGCCAGGACCCUAUUAGUAUUUAUAUUCCCUUCUUCCUGCCUUCAGCCCUGGCCUCAGCAUUCUCUACCGAAUCUCAGCACCAGGGGGAGGGUGCGGCUGUCUGCGGCUCCCGCCCCUGCUUCCCUCUUCGGGGGAAGCUGCUCUGGCAGAGACCUCUCGGCCACCUGUUUCUGGCACGCCUAUUUCCAGUCACUGGGGUGGAGGUUAGGCUCCCACGGGCCUGUUCUUUAGCACCCCUACCUUGGUUCACUAGGGCCAGGGCUAUGGCACAAAGCCUCCUGGGGGAGGGAGGGAGGGGACCCUGCCAGAGACGAGGCUACAGCUGCCCUGGUGGGGAGGGCGGCAGCUCUAAUGAAGGGAGCCUGGCUCCUCUCCUGAGGUGGCUGCCAGUGCCCAGGCUAAGGAGCCUAGAGCCAAGGAGCUUCUGGCUCGGAAGAGGUGAAAGCUGGCAGGCAGUGGGGCUGGCAUGGAGGGGCAGAAGCAGAAAAGACAGCUUGGCCAGCCGUGUCUACUGAGGAUACCUCCUCCCUGAGACGGUACCUGCCACUUAGGAACUUUCUUAGCAAAAAUAAAAAAAGAAAACAAUUCAUUGUCCUCUAAGGAACUAUACUGUUGGCCUGCACUGGGGCCCAGAAGUUUAUAGUCAGGCCACGCAAACCCUCUCCUCAGCCCUCUGGCAAUGAGACCUUGAGCCGCCCCUGACCUGGGGGGGGGGGGCUGGCCCACCCCUCACUCCCUCACGUUCUAGAGCACGUGUGGGAGUAACUGAUGCACAAGCAGGGCUUCGCACAAAACAUUACUAGGCAUGUCAGUUUGUGGUUGCCGCCUGGCACUCCAAGGGGAGCACUGGGAGUGGGGGGGCGUCUCCCAGGAGUGCAGGCUGAGUGGCUAUUCAAGGGCUUAGAGGAGCAGGGUCCCAGCCUGGCCUGGGGGGAGGUGGCCACUGUAUUGGGGGUCAGAGCCCAAGGCCAGGUUGUCAUUCUAGCUGUGUGACCCUGUUUGAGUCCCUUAACCUCUCAAGUAUGAUGGGAGUCGGAGGUCAGGUGAGAUCACCUCCAAGGCUCCUUUCAGCUCUGAAUCUGAGCCCCAUACAGAGCCUACUAGGUGCGUUUCUCACAGC
RNA transcript from Zalophus californianus (California sea lion), 4575 nucleotides. It is a transcript of the gene named unc-13 homolog D, with no coding region annotated. The record is from RefSeq and is a predicted model, not a curated record. NCBI's taxonomy places the organism in Eukaryota, Metazoa, Chordata, Mammalia, Carnivora, Otariidae. The transcript is spliced from 31 exons.